UUUCAAAAUAGAAAAUAUACAUCAUGAUCAAAGUCUGCCAACAAAGGGUGAAGUUAAAUAGUGAAAAAAGAGAAGCUGUGGUCAGCAAUGAGUGUUUUACCCUAAGCAUAAAACCCCUAAGCAAUGGUGGGAACGAUUACAGAAGAGAGUGUAAGUGUCAUAGAUGCAAAGAACACCAUUCUGAGAAAAUCAGCACUGGGAAGAGGACGGUGGGCCAUGGGAACAGAAAGCAGAACGGUGCAUUCAAAUGUUUCUGAGGAUGAACUUUAGCAAGUAAUCGACUGGCCACAUGAUGCUCUGAGCCUCUCGCUUCCCCCAUUUUCUGACCAGCCCUGAGAACAGAACCAAGAGGCUGAAGAAGGAAGCAGAGAAGUGCCAAGAAUUGCAGAAGAGGGGGAUGUGGUGAGCGGCCCCUGGGUGAGGGGUUCCAGCUGCAGCAGGAGAGACACCAGAGGGACGGGGCCAUAUGGCUGCCAUCGGCUUUGCUGCUGCUCUCUGUCCCAGUGGUGUCCUGGAACCCUAGGAGCCCCUGGAAGGUCUUAAACACUCUGAUGACCCUGUGGAGCAUGUAGCAUCGUGGACCCAC
Molecule: long non-coding RNA, 586 nt
Organism: Lynx canadensis (Canada lynx)
Lineage: Eukaryota; Metazoa; Chordata; Mammalia; Carnivora; Felidae
Exons: 3
Source: RefSeq, a predicted model, not a curated record